RNAcentral lists this ribosomal RNA (782 nucleotides) under uncultured bacterium. Its description in RNAcentral is "bacterial SSU rRNA". It matches the Rfam family "Bacterial small subunit ribosomal RNA", at positions 708 to 1500 of the family's 1533-position model. The record is from RNAcentral.
CCAAAAGCGAAGGCAAUCUUCUGGAACACUACUACGCUGAGGCGCGAAAGCGUGGGGAGCAAACAGAUUAGAUACCCUGGUAGUCCACGCAGUAACGAUGAAUGUUAGUCGUCGGGUAGCUAGUCUAUUCGGUGAUGCAGCUAACGCAUUAAACAUUCCGCUUGGGGAGUACGGUCGCAAGAUUAAAACUCAAAGGAAUAGACGGGGACCCGCACAAGUGGUGGAGCAUGUGGUUUAAUUCGAAGAUACGCGAAGAACCUUACCUAGCCUUGACAUAUAUUAGAACAUUUUAGAGAUAGAAUGGUGCCUUCGGGAGCUUUUAUACAGGUGCUGCACGGCUGUCGUCAGCUCGUGUCGUGAGAUGUUGGGUUAAGUCCCGCAACGAGCGCAACCCUCGUCACUAGUUACUAACGGUUCGGCCGAGGACUCUAGUGAGACUGCCUUCGCAAGGAGGAGGAAGGUGAGGACGACGUCAAGUCAUCAUGGCCCUUACGGCUAGGGCAACACACGUGCUACAAUGGUUGGGACAAUGAGACGCAAUACCGCGAGGUGGAGCAAAUCUAUAAACCCAAUCUCAGUUCGGAUUGUUCUCUGCAACUCGAGAACAUGAAGCUGGAAUCACUAGUAAUCGUAGAUCAGCUAUGCUACGGUGAAUACGUUCCCGGGUCUUGUACUCACCGCCCGUCACACCAUGGGAGUUGAUUUCACCCGAAGCGGGGAAGCUAAACUGGCUACCCUCCACGGUGGAAUUAGCGACUGGGGUGAAGUCGUAACAAGGUAAC